GGAAAGCAGACUUAUUUGCAUUAAUAAAGAAACCUCUUUAUUAAGCAAAAUACUCCACUUGAGCUAUGAUUUACAACAAAAUUCAUUACUAACCUUGCAUCAGGCUUGUCAAUGUGAGCCUGGAAACAUUGUUCCUCCCGGAACUCUGAGGCAAUGAAUUUAUGCGAAUCCAGCAUUUGGCAAAUGAUGCUUGCUGGACAUGCAAAUUUUAUCUUGAUUUGUGACAUGUCCAAUCAAUAUAUGCAAAUGAAAGAGAGCAUAAAAUCUGGUGCAUUUUCUUUACAAGUUGGAAAAAUAGCAAGAAAGAGGUUAGAAUUGCAAAUAUGCAAAAAGAUCCUCCAUUGCCAACAAAAUAGAAUUGCUGUGUGAUAGAUUGCUCAAGAAUUGGGCUUAAACAAAUCUACAAUCAGAAUCUUCCACAAACACUAUAAGG
RNAcentral lists this long non-coding RNA (433 nucleotides) under Androctonus crassicauda. Lineage: Eukaryota; Metazoa; Arthropoda; Arachnida; Scorpiones; Buthidae. The record is from RNAcentral.